Molecule: microRNA precursor, 63 nt
Filed under: Pelobates cultripes (western spadefoot toad)
Lineage: Eukaryota; Metazoa; Chordata; Amphibia; Anura; Pelobatidae
Source: RNAcentral
UUUCCAGAUCAGCAAUGUUUGCCUUUGUUUUUCCACUCAGGGCAAACAUUGCUGAUCUGGAAA